CUAGCUGGGAUUACAGGCACCAGCCACCACACCCAGAUUCCUGAUGACAACAAAUAUACACUGGAACCCCCAAGGGCUUUGCAGGUUCACUGAUUUCCAGAUAUUUCUCUUGGGAUUCUGCUAUAGGACCUGAAGUUAUCUGCUUGCUGAGGCAUGAAGAAAUAAAUAAAAUAAUAGGAAAAUAUGAAAAAGUAAAAUAAGCGUUUAUAGAAGUGAUGUGUUUCAUUGAAGAAAUCCAGGUACAGCCACUGGCAUAGUCUCUGACAUCUUCAUCAGUACAAGAUAAGAUUACUUGACUUGGCUCGAGUUGAAAAUCAUGAGUAAGUGAUCUUAAUUCUAAUUCAAAAAUAGAAAACCAUUCUGCUGGAUAUCUGUUAGACUAUGCCUAGCAGGCAUUUUUUUGAAAAUCUGAACCCAACUUCUGUUCAUGAAACAGUAGAUUGCUUAUUCCAAAGAAGAAUGCUUCAUUCAUUACUUUCUAUUUAAAACAUCUUAUUGUACUCCCUGAGACUGCGUUCACAAGAUCAUGCCUAUUAGAAUCCUCUUGUUCUAUUUAUCAGAGGAUUCCAUCUUACACAUGCAUAAUGACGUCUGUUUUACAUGAAUACUAGGUUUUCUUGGUAGCUUGAGAACUGACGCUGCAGCAGCUCUUCCUGUAGCAGGCACAAAGCCUGGCUCUAUCCACCUCAUCAUGUUACUGGGCUGAGUUACAUACUAACAGCAGCUCAAUUUUUCUCCCUAAGAAAAAUACUUUUCCCCAAGUAUUUUGUUUCUAUCACUGCUGUAAAAUUAAAACAUAACUCUUAUUUCUUCAUGUCUACAUUAUAUCUAAAUUCAUGUAUUGUCAUGUUUCUUCUUGAUAAUAUAUAUAAGGCUAUCUAAUCUACAUUUUAAAACUUGCCUUUUAUAAACGUGGUCUUAGUUGUCAGGUCCAUUUAUGUCAUCACUAUUAAUGAGUAUUUCUUUGAAAACACCCACACCCAUAUGCAUGUCUAUUAAUCACUUCAUCAAGGACCAGUCACCUUUAAUGUCAACCAUGAUAGCAUAAUUUCUUAAUUUCAGUAAUUUGGUUUGUGAUUUUUCAUCACAUAUUAUGUUCCAGUCUCCUUUAAUUAAAAAAAAUCUUCAUAUCCCCUUAAGAUUCAUAAAUUUUUUUCCUCUAAAUUUCAUUUUUCCUUUUAGAUUUGUGCUACUUGAAUCUCCUUAUUUGAGAGUAAAGGGAACAUUCAAAGAUAUCUGAGCCACACUAAAAUCAAUAAAAUCAUUUUCCUUAUCUUAGUCAUUUCUUUAUCAUUUCUUUUUGGUCUUGUCAGAUUCAUAUCUGGUGUCUAUUAUUAUAUUUGCUGUUGUUACUAUAAAAUAAUAACUAAUAUUAGCUGCAUUAUUUAUUGAGCAUUUACUAGGUGCUAAACAAUUUAUAUACAUCAUCUCGUUUAAUCCUCAUCACUACCCUAUAAAAUAGAUACCAAAACCUUGUUUAAUAGAUUAAAAAAGCUGUGAGGUUAAACCUACCCCAAGCCACCCAGGCAGAGUCCACUUGACCCCAGGCUGUGCCCUUUCUAAUACACUACUCACCCACUGCUGCCACAUUCUGAUGAUAUUUGAGACUUAAAGUAUUCCUGACUUACAUUAAAUUUUUGAAGAGCUCAUAUAUGACCACUUGUAACAAGCCUCAACUUUUCUCCCCUCAUUGCCUGUGCCUUGAAAGUCAAUGUAAAAUACUUAAGGUUAGCACUGAAUAUGUCUUCUCAGUGUUGAGAAGCGCAUAAGUGCUAAUCAAAUGAAACAAACAGUUUAGAUAACAGUGGCAUUUUAAUUGACCAAACAUACUUUAACUAUCUGAAAUAUUUUCUAUUAAUACUGCUUAUAAGUCCACCAAUUUCAGUUUAUGUUGUAUUUAUAAGGGCUUUUUAAAAAAUGAAGCUCUGUGUUGUCAUUCAUAUU
RNAcentral lists this long non-coding RNA (1944 nucleotides) under Homo sapiens (human). RNAcentral's name for it is "HSALNT0348951". Lineage: Eukaryota; Metazoa; Chordata; Mammalia; Primates; Hominidae. The record is from RNAcentral.